UGUAAGCGUAUACCAAAGUUGUUGCAGUUAAAACGCUCGUAGUCGGAAUUUGGCAGUUCCGGAAGUGUGCACGUCGUGUGCGCACUUUGCGGGGACUGCUUUUGUGGUCUUGCGUAGGAUGAGGCACUUUCAUUAGUGAACGUCCUCACGCAACCACUCCUUACUGUGAGAAAAUCAGGGUGCUCAAAGCAGGCAUUUGCCGUGAAUGUAUUAGCAUGGAAUAAUAGAAUAGGACUCGGUUCUAUUUUGUUGGUUUGUUGGGACUGAGUAAUGAUUAAGAGGGACAGUUGGGGGCAUUUGUAUUCCGGCGCUAGAGGUGAAAUUCUUAGAUUGCCGGAAGACAAACUGCUGCGAAAGCGUCUGCCAAGGAUGUUUUCAUUGA
Molecule: ribosomal RNA, 382 nt
Filed under: uncultured eukaryote
Lineage: Eukaryota
Description: partial 18S ribosomal RNA
Rfam family: Eukaryotic small subunit ribosomal RNA
Source: RNAcentral